RNAcentral lists this ribosomal RNA (496 nucleotides) under uncultured bacterium. RNAcentral describes it as "partial 16S ribosomal RNA". It matches the Rfam family "Bacterial small subunit ribosomal RNA", at positions 28 to 507 of the family's 1533-position model. The record is from RNAcentral.
GAUGAACGCUGGCGGCGUGCCUAAUACAUGCAAGUCGAGCGAACAGACGAGGAGCUUGCUCCUCUGACGUUAGCGGCGGACGGGUGAGUAACACGUGGAUAACCUACCUAUAAGACUGGGAUAACUUCGGGAACCGGAGCUAAUACCGGAUAAUAUAUUUAACCGCAUGGUUCAAUAGUGAAAGACGGUUUUGCUGUCACUUAUAGAUGGAUCCGCGCCGCAUUAGCUAGUUGGUAAGGUAACGGCUUACCAAGGCAACGAUGCGUAGCCGACCUGAGAGGGUGAUCGGCCACACUGGAACUGAGACACGGUCCAGACUCCUACGGGAGGCACCAGUAGGGAAUCUUCCGCAAUGGGCGAAAGCCUGACGGAGCAACGCCGCGUGAGUGAUGAAGGUCUUCGGAUCGUAAAACUCUGUUAUUAGGGAAGAACAAAUGUGUAAGUAACUAUGCACGUCUUGACGGUACCUAAUCAGAAAGCCACGGCUAACUACGUG